This 253-nucleotide ribosomal RNA is filed under the name uncultured bacterium. Its description in RNAcentral is "partial 16S ribosomal RNA". It matches the Rfam family "Bacterial small subunit ribosomal RNA", at positions 524 to 776 of the family's 1533-position model. The record is from RNAcentral.
UACGAAGGGGGCUAGCGUUGCUCGGAAUCACUGGGCGUAAAGCGCACGUAGGCGGAUUGUUAAGUCAGGGGUGAAAUCCUGGAGCUCAACUCCAGAACUGCCUUUGAUACUGGCGAUCUUGAGUCCGGGAGAGGUGAGUGGAACUCCGAGUGUAGAGGUGAAAUUCGUAGAUAUUCGGAAGAACACCAGUGGCGAAGGCGACUCGCUGGACAAGUAUUGACGCUGAGGUGCGAAAGCGUGGGGAGCAAACAGG